UACAGAGGUCCCAAGCGUUGUUCGGAUUCACUGGGCGUAAAGGGUGCGUAGGUGGUGAGGUAAGUCGGAUGUGAAAGCUCGGAGCUCAACUCCGAAAUGGCAUUGGAAACUACCUUGCUCGAGGGUUGGAGGGGGGACUGGAAUGCUUGGUGUAGCAGUGAAAUGCGUAGAUAUCAAGCGGAACACCAGUGGCGAAGGCGAGUCCCUGGACAACUACUGACACUGAGGCACGAAAGCUAGGGGAGCAAACAGG
This 253-nucleotide ribosomal RNA is filed under the name uncultured bacterium. RNAcentral's name for it is "partial 16S ribosomal RNA". It matches the Rfam family "Bacterial small subunit ribosomal RNA", at positions 524 to 776 of the family's 1533-position model. The record is from RNAcentral.